ACGCUGGCGGCAGGCCUAACACAUGCAGUCGAGCGGUAGAGAGAAGCUUGCUUCUCUUGAGAGCGGCGGACGGGUGAGUAAUGCCUAGGAAUCUGCCUGGUAGUGGGGGAUAACGUUCGGAAACGGACGCUAAUACCGCAUACGUCCUACGGGAGAAAGCAGGGGACCUUCGGGCCUUGCGCUAUCAGAUGAGCCUAGGUCGGAUUAGCUAGUUGGUGAGGUAAUGGCUCACCAAGGCGACGAUCCGUAACUGGUCUGAGAGGAUGAUCAGUCACACUGGAACUGAGACACGGUCCAGACUCCUACGGGAGGCAGCAGUGGGGAAUAUUGGACAAUGGGCGAAAGCCUGAUCCAGCCAUGCCGCGUGUGUGAAGAAGGUCUUCGGAUUGUAAAGCACUUUAAGUUGGGAGGAAGGGUUGUAGAUUAAUACUCUGCAAUUUUGACGUUACCGACAGAAUAAGCACCGGCUAACUCUGUGCCAGCAGCCGCGGUAAUACAGAGGGUGCAAGCGUUAAUCGGAAUUACUGGGCGUAAAGCGCGCGUAGGUGGUUUGUUAAGUUGGAUGUGAAAUCCCCGGGCUCAACCUGGGAACCGCAUUCAAAACUGACUGACUAGAGUAUGGUAGAGGGUGGUGGAAUUUCCUGUGUAGCGGUGAAAUGCGUAGAUAUAGGAAGGAACACCAGUGGCGAAGGCGACCACCUGGACUAAUACUGACACUGAGGUGCGAAAGCGUGGGGAACAAACAGGAUUAGAU
Molecule: ribosomal RNA, 754 nt
Filed under: uncultured bacterium
Lineage: Bacteria
Description: bacterial SSU rRNA
Rfam family: Bacterial small subunit ribosomal RNA
Source: RNAcentral